This is a long non-coding RNA of Xiphophorus hellerii (green swordtail), 445 nucleotides long. RefSeq lists it as uncharacterized. NCBI's taxonomy places the organism in Eukaryota, Metazoa, Chordata, Actinopteri, Cyprinodontiformes, Poeciliidae. The record is from RefSeq and is a predicted model, not a curated record. The transcript is spliced from 2 exons.
UCAAACGCGCCCUGACAGGACAUGGUCUCCUCCUCCUCCUGUUGCUCUCCCGGCGGCUCCCCUUCCACCGGGACACAGAGGAGGAAAAAUCCAAGCGAAGCAAAGGCGAGGAGCAACAAGCGAGCCUGUGUCCACGCCAUCUUUCCAGGAGGAGUCAGCCCUGGAGGAGUGUUGCUCUGCUCAAGCCGGGCUCUUCAAGACUUCUCUUUCGGCUGACGGGGAAAAGAAAAAAAAAAAAAAGCAUGAAAGCGGGGCAGGAUGAAGGAGAUGCGAGAGGAGAACCGAGAGGAGGAGAGGAGCGACACCCGAGGAGAGAUGCAAAACUUCACUUUUUCCAUUUAUUUCCAAAGAAAAAGAAAUCCUCUGUUCAAAUUCGGGGGCAGAUUGCCACAAUUUGUGGAUUACGCAUAACGCACAAACAUAACAAAAAUACAUUUGCACGACA